Long non-coding RNA from Cornus florida, 782 nucleotides. RefSeq lists it as uncharacterized. The record is from RefSeq and is a predicted model, not a curated record. The transcript is spliced from 2 exons. NCBI's taxonomy places the organism in Eukaryota, Viridiplantae, Streptophyta, Magnoliopsida, Cornales, Cornaceae.
AAAACCCAAUUUUCGUGCAUUCUAUUUCCUUUCCAUAGUGAUACCUUUUAAGCUAAAUUUUGGAAGCUUUGUGUUGGGAUUUUGAUGGGGCUUUGUGAAGGAAAAAUGUUCCUUAGAUAGUGAGGGUUUUUUUGAUAUCAAACUUGAGUCCAUUUCUUUUGUUGCUGGGUUUGGAAAGUGGUGUUAAAAGAAGAGGGUUUUGGUUGCAAACAAAGAAGGAAAGUGUUCUUCACCUUCUAGUUGCUGAUUUUGAUCCAUUUUUUGUGUGGUUUUGAAUUGUUGAGCAAGUGUUCAAGCUUCCCUUCAGGGAGCAGCUCUGGCAGGAUUACAUUAACUUUUUGUGAUGGAAAUUGGAUUUUUGGGAAGUGAGAAGUGUCUGUGGCAUUAGCAUUAGCAUCCGCAUUGUAUGGCACUUCAUUUUAUUAUUCUACAUGAUAUUAUUUCUUUCUCAAGUUUUUAUGAUCCCAUUAUCCUUUGUCUAUUCUUUGUUUGGAUUCACGGAGGUAUUAAGGAGUGCGCUUUAGGCAAUUCCUACUGAGCUGUGGUUACUCAUUCCUAUUUUAUUCACAUCUUUUUAGGUCAUAGCAUGGAUGGUGUGGAGGGUGUUCCUCCUCAGCUGUAGACAGAGUCGGGGCUGGUGUUAUUGUGUUAUAUUCCGCAUAAUAAACUAUGUUUUGUAUUAUAUUUCCUAGAAUUUUCCUGGCAUGUAAUAAAUUUUCUUUCAGACUUUAAAACUUUAAAGUUUUAAUAUUUGCAUCUUAUCUAUUUAUUUUCAGUUUUGA